Non-coding RNA from Trichonephila clavipes, 73 nucleotides. The record is from the annotation of a GenBank genome assembly. NCBI's taxonomy places the organism in Eukaryota, Metazoa, Arthropoda, Arachnida, Araneae, Nephilidae.
GUCCCUGUAGUGCAUUGGAUAGCACGUUGGACAUAUAAUCCAAAGGUUGUGGUUUCGAAUUCUACCUAGGAUG